UCCCUGGAGGACUAGUGGUUAGGCCACAGCGCUCUCACCGCUGCGGCCCCUGUUUGAUUCCUGGCCAGGGAA
This 72-nucleotide transfer RNA is filed under the name Pangasianodon gigas (Mekong giant catfish). RNAcentral describes it as "tRNA-Glu". It matches the Rfam family "tRNA". Rfam says of the family: Transfer RNA (tRNA) molecules are approximately 80 nucleotides in length. Lineage: Eukaryota; Metazoa; Chordata; Actinopteri; Siluriformes; Pangasiidae. The record is from RNAcentral.